GCAGCCUAUUUCUCUCUCUAUCUUCCUCGGUUCUCUCACUGGUAUCUUCAUCAUAUCUCUUCCAAAUCUUUUCAUUUGUAUACCUAACCUUCAAUCUUCAGGCAUUCAUCAUCAAUAUCUUCUAUAAUCAACCGAUUCACACAUUGAAGGAUCACCAUUACAACCGCGAGGAUGUCUUUUUACAAGUCUAUGUCCGCACUAACUAAAGAAUUCUUGGUACUCUUAUGUUCUUUAUCAAUGUUUUCAUUGCUGUUCAUUUAUUUUUGGAAUAUUUUAAUUCUUUUAUUUACCAGUGAUUAUGUUUAUGUUUACUUUAAAGGUUAUACCUGUUCAGUUUUCUAAGAUAUGGUUAUCUUCUGCGGGUAGUGAUAAUAUUGUGCUCAUAAAGUGCAUAAAUGAAAAGGUUUGGAACGUAAACUUUUCCAAGAACAAUGGUACAUUUGCUUUUACGGAAUGAUGGUCAAAGGUUGUGGCUGACCUUUCUUUAUAUGAUGGAUGUAUACUUGUGUUCAGGAAAAUUAAUCCCUAUAAUUAUUUACCCACACCUUUUUUCAAGGAAAUACCUUAUCCACGUUGGGAUCCAAACAUCAGUUUGUUUACCUCCAUCUCCUCUUUGCCGAAUAGAAAAUACGUAGAGGCUUUCUGCCAUGUUUUCAAUGAUCAAACUGUUAAUACAUUGCUUCUACCGACUUAUUUUGUUAAAAACACUAUUGGUCUCGGUAAACUUAGAAGAUCAAUGAAGGUUCAUCUGAAUUCCUGGGACUCUUUAGAUGUAUCUGUUGUGAAGGAUCCUGAUAGCAAAUGUUAUUUUUUAUGGAUGGAUGGAACAACAUUGUACAACAUAUAGGUGUUCGUAUUGAAUGUGUUGUUGUUUUACGCUACCAGAUUGAUUACAACUUUCAGUUGACAUUAUUUGAUGUGAAUGGAUCUGAGGUCAUUAUACCUAGAAUUGGUUUACCGGUCAAUUCUGAUUCUGAUUUGAGAAAUGCAACUCCCUUGGUAAACAUUGUUGAUGAUGUUGAAGACGAUGUUGAUAUUAAUUCUGAUCUUGAUUCGGAGGUAGCUGCUUUAUUUGAACCUUCUAAUUCUGAUGAGUCCGUUGUUGGAAGUUCUGACAGUGAUAUGUCUAUUGACGAUGAUUUUGAUGAGGACGACAUUGAAGAUUCGAGUGGUGCUUCUGAUGAUGAUACAAAAGAAAUAAAUUUGCAAGUUUAUCUAAUUUAUUUUUGGUGUCGAUUGGAUAUUGAUUUUCAAAAUAACGACUUUUUUGACUUUUUGGUAUUUAAUUACUUUUAAAUACUUUCCUUUUUUUCUCUGAAAGGAAUUUAU
Long non-coding RNA from Helianthus annuus (common sunflower), 1329 nucleotides. RefSeq lists it as uncharacterized. The transcript is spliced from 3 exons. Lineage: Eukaryota; Viridiplantae; Streptophyta; Magnoliopsida; Asterales; Asteraceae. The record is from RefSeq and is a predicted model, not a curated record.